UACAGAGGUCUCAAGCGUUGUUCGGAAUCACUGGGCGUAAAGGGUGCGUAGGCCGCACGGUAAGUCAGAUGUGAAAGCCCGGAGCUCAACUCCGGAACUGCAUCCGAUACUGCCGUGCUUGAGGACUGAAGAGGAGUCUGGAAUUCACAGUGGAGCAGUGAAAUGCGUAGAUAUUGUGAGGAACACUAGUGGCGAAGGCGAGACUCUGGACAGUUCCUGACGCUGAGGCACGAAGGCCAGGGGAGCAAACGGG
This 253-nucleotide ribosomal RNA is filed under the name uncultured bacterium. RNAcentral's name for it is "partial 16S ribosomal RNA". It matches the Rfam family "Bacterial small subunit ribosomal RNA", at positions 524 to 776 of the family's 1533-position model. The record is from RNAcentral.